AACGCAUAUUGCACUCCUUGGUAUUCCUUGGAGUAUACCUGUUCGAGCGCCGUUUAUCUCUAAGGCAUUGCCUUGUGUUGAUGUUGCCCAUAUUAAGGGCUCAUCGAAAUAAAUGGGCACUUAUUCUUUGUCCUAAGCGCAGCAAAAUGUGUAAAAGGUCAAAGAGAAAGUAGCCAGUGCUUUCUAAAGCAUGGCCUCGGAUCAGGUAGGGUUACCCGCUGAACUUAA
This 228-nucleotide unclassified non-coding RNA is filed under the name uncultured fungus. Its description in RNAcentral is "sequence contains ITS2". The record is from RNAcentral. Lineage: Eukaryota; Fungi.